Molecule: transfer RNA, 82 nt
Filed under: Alosa alosa (allis shad)
Lineage: Eukaryota; Metazoa; Chordata; Actinopteri; Clupeiformes; Clupeidae
Description: tRNA-Leu
Rfam family: tRNA
About the family: Transfer RNA (tRNA) molecules are approximately 80 nucleotides in length.
Source: RNAcentral
ACCAGGAUGGCCGAAAGUGGUUAAGGCGCUGGACUUAAGAUCCAAUGGAUAUUAUGUCGCGGGUUCGAACCCCCUCCUGGUA